UCCGGGCUCUGUGUAAAUGUGUCAUCAAAAAGGCAUUCCUCGAUGCCCUAAAAGAAGAAUAUAAGUUAAUAAAGGCAGGGGUUGAUCUGCUUGAUUUAUUAUUCUAUCUCUAGCAAAAGUACCAGGCAUAUAGUGGGCAUUCGGUCUAUACUUGUUGAACAAAUGAUUGAAUAAAAAAUGGAUUAACGGGAUCCCUGGGUGGCUCAGCAGUUUGGCGCCUGCCUUUGGCCCAGGGCGCGAUCCUGGAGUCCCGGGAUCGGGUCCCACAUCAGGUUCCCAGGAUGGAGCCUGCUUCUCCCUCCUCCUGUGUCUCUGCCUCUCUCUCUCUAUGUCUAUCAUAAAUAAAUAAAUAAAUCUUUAAAAGAAUGGAUUAAGGAAAUACGCAUUAAUGUCCAAUAUGUGUCCUAAACAUACGACUAGGAAUUGAAAGUAUAGGGAAGGAUGAAUGCUUACCUCAGGAAUUGAUGGGUGAGAUUAUACCAGAGGGAAAGAACACGCUUCUGGGGUAAGCAGCAAAGAGGAGCUUAUAAGGGGGCCUGGGGAGAAAUUGCUAGAGAGGCAGGAGGUAAACCCGGAGAAGGUUGUCAUAGAACAUGAGAAAAGGAUUCUAAAACAGAGGGAAUUGUCAAGAGUAACAGUGCUACUGAAAGACAGAGAGAAGAAAAUGCAAAGAAUCCAUUGCAUGUAGCAAAAACCUUGGGGUUCCUAGCAAGUGUGAUAGUAUUACCUCCCCCCAAAGUCUUCGUACUCCCUCAAGUUCACAGUGCUCAUCAAUCAGAACACAAGCUGCCCGACUUCUCAGUUACCUAGCAGUCUAGACCGUACGCAGCCUGGGGGGUUGAGGAAGGGAUUCCUACGGGCCAGCCAUGGUGCUAAAUAUUCUGUAUAUACUCAUAUGCUUGACUUUCCCAGCAACCCAGUGAGACACAUAUGAUACCCCAUUUUACAUAUGCAGAAAUUGAGGUCCCCAGAGGCUAAACUAACCCAAGAUCUUGCAACUACUAAGGAACAAAGUGGAUACUGAAACACGGUUCUUUUGGACUCGACGAGCAAAAUGUGCAUGUCGGGAGUGUUUCUCCUGUGCUGCUGGGUCAUCUGGAAGUCCCGUACUGAGGUGUCCACAUUUCUUCAGACAGCUGUUCUGUGAACUAGAAGAAUGGUUUCAUCUUUGCAAAUGUCACUUUCCUCCUAAGGAUAAACAUAAAAGAAGGUAGUUCUGACUC
Molecule: long non-coding RNA, 1223 nt
Filed under: Canis lupus familiaris (dog)
Lineage: Eukaryota; Metazoa; Chordata; Mammalia; Carnivora; Canidae
Description: lncRNA (ENSCAFG00000058063.1)
Source: RNAcentral